This 224-nucleotide long non-coding RNA is filed under the name Vigna radiata. Its description in RNAcentral is "long non-coding RNA (VRAD_LNC010365)". The record is from RNAcentral. Lineage: Eukaryota; Viridiplantae; Streptophyta; Magnoliopsida; Fabales; Fabaceae.
GAGAAUUUCAGAGGAGCACAAGAGAGGGAAAGAAAAAACUAACUCCGUUAGUGGAUAUUUAACGGAUAGAACUGAUUUGAUACAUUUUACAUAUUAUAGGAACCAAAGAUUUACCAUUUUAAAAGUGGAGACUAAACUAAACAUCAGGACUUAACUUAGAAAAAAAAAAGGAUUUAAACCAUUAUAAAAUAAAAAUAUUAAUUGUUUAAAUUAAAGAAAGGAAU